Molecule: ribosomal RNA, 415 nt
Filed under: uncultured soil bacterium
Lineage: Bacteria
Description: bacterial SSU rRNA
Rfam family: Bacterial small subunit ribosomal RNA
Source: RNAcentral
AGAUUGAACGCUGGCGGCAGGCCUAACACAUGCAAGUCGAGCGGUAGAGAGGUGCUUGCAUCUCUUGAGAGCGGCGGACGGGUGAGUAAUGCCUAGGAAUCUGCCUAGUGGUGGGGGAUAACGUUCGGAAACGGACGCUAAUACCGCAUACGUCCUACGGGAGAAAGCGGGGGACCUUCGGGCCUCGCGCCAUUAGAUGAGCCUAGGUCGGAUUAGCCAGUUGGUGAGGUAAUGGCUCACCAAGGCGACGAUCCGUAACUGGUCUGAGAGGAUGAUCAGUCACACUGGAACUGAGACACGGUCCAGACUCCUACGGGAGGCAGCAGUGGGGAAUAGUUGGACAAGUGGGCGAAAGCCUGAUCCAGCCAUGCCGCGUGUGUGAAGAAGGCCUUGGUUGUAAACGUCCCUUUUAGUA